Balaenoptera ricei (Rice's whale) is the source of this 448-nucleotide long non-coding RNA. RefSeq lists it as uncharacterized. The record is from RefSeq and is a predicted model, not a curated record. The transcript is spliced from 3 exons. NCBI's taxonomy places the organism in Eukaryota, Metazoa, Chordata, Mammalia, Artiodactyla, Balaenopteridae.
UAAUAAACAUCCAUGGAGUCACCACCAAGAUGGGACAAAUGUUACAGAUACCUGAAAGGAGAGGGAAGCUCUGAUGAGCCAAGAAAGACGCCCAAAGACGAAGAGUCACCGUUAACCAUCUUCCUGGCUCAGAGAGUGUGAAGCCACCCAGCCAGGUGAUAUUGGAGUAGAAAGGAAGACACGCCCUAUCCACAGAGCUCUUAGUCAGAAAAGGAAAGGAAGCCCUCAAUUAGCCCAAGUGGGCUGCUGGCUGCCUGACACCCAGUCUCCUGGCAACCAUUUUCCUAACCCUUUGAUGGAUGCAAACGUUGACAGUCUUCUUAUAAGAUUGUGGGUCUCAACUCUAGAGAGCCAUGGCUUGAAGUGGAGAAGGAAGAAGAAAACAGUGCCUGCUAUCUGAACAGUAAGGCCCACCUGUUAUGGCCAAAGCUUCCUGCAGAGACUUGAU